AGAGAUUGUGACUGGAAAUUGGGGGAGGUCGGACUGGAAGUGGGGGGGGCAGACUGUAAGUGGGGGUGAAGACCAGAAGUUGGUGGGGUUAGACCGGAAGUUGGUGGUUCUGAGAGGAAAUUGGAAGGGGUCGGGGUGGAAGUGGGAGGUUCCGACUGGAAAUGGAAAAUUUGGAGCCAAAGUUGGACCGGAACUUGAGAGUUCUGAUUGGAAAUUGGGGGGGUCAGACUGGAAGUGGGGGGGUUCUGACUGGAAAUUGGGGGGCGUUGGACAGGAAGUAGAGGGCUCAGACCGGAACUUGUGGUUUCUGCCUGGAAACCGAGGGUUCAAACUGAAAGUGGGGGGGUUGGACCGGAAGUGGGAGGGUUGGACCGGAAGUGGGGCGCCUGGAUUGGAAUCUGGCAGUUCCGGCUGGAAGUUGGAGGUUCAGGCUGGAAAUCAGGGGGUUCUGACCGGAAAUCGGGGGAUUCUGACUGGGAACUGGGAGCUUCUGACCGGAAGUGGGGGGUUCUGACUGGAAGUGGGGGGGCCCUGAUUGGAAACUGGGGGUUCAGACUGGAAACUGGGGGCGGGGGGGGGCUGGACCGGACGUGAAGGAGUGUUCCGACCGGAAGUUGGUGUUCUGAACCGGAAGUGAGGGCUGGACCGGAAGUUUGGGUUCUGAACAGGAAGUGAGGGCUGGACCGGAAGUGAAUGCGUAUUCUGACCGGAAGUGGGGUCUGAACCGGAAGUUGGUCCCCGCUGACCGGAAGGAGCCUCCAUCACCGCACAGCGCCAUGGAGAGCGGAGAGCAGAGUGAGGGCACGGCCCUGCGCCACGUCCCUGUGUCCCCAUGUCUCCAUGUCCCCACGUGUCCCCUCCCCACAGGACCCUCCCGUGGCGGUGACACGGAGUUGCCCACCCCACAGCCACCGGGCGCCGCCAGCUGUGCCUGGGGCAGCAGCGCCACCUGGAGGGGGCGGGGGAGAGCAGGGCAAAAAUCAGGGAGCUGCGGCGGGGACACAGGGAGGACUUCGUGCAGCAGCUGGAGACGCUGAUGGACGAGCACAAGCGGCUGCAGCGCCAGCACUCCCCGGUGGCGCUGGUGGCCGCGCUGUCCCAGCUGCAGCUGACACGGGAUGAGCUGCUGAACCAGGGUGAGCACACAUGGCCCCAAAUGUCCCCAGACAGCCAUGCAAUGUCCCCAAAUGUCCCCAAAUAUUCAUAUAAUGUCUCCAAAUGUUCCCAGAUAUCCAUGCAAUGUCCCCAAAUGUCCCCAAAUGUCCCCAGAUAUCCAUGCAAUAUCCCCCCAAUGUCCCCAAAUA
This 1304-nucleotide long non-coding RNA is filed under the name Numida meleagris (helmeted guineafowl). RNAcentral describes it as "lncRNA (ENSNMEG00000001984.1)". Lineage: Eukaryota; Metazoa; Chordata; Aves; Galliformes; Numididae. The record is from RNAcentral.